UCUGAAUUGUUGAUUUUACUUACA
This 24-nucleotide non-coding RNA is filed under the name Cricetulus griseus (Chinese hamster). The record is from RNAcentral. Lineage: Eukaryota; Metazoa; Chordata; Mammalia; Rodentia; Cricetidae.